GGCGGUGUCAACGAGUCAGACCUUCUGGCCCGAAAGGGUUGGGUAAACUGGUCAAUCACCGUCAUGACAGGGAUCGGGGCUUGGAAUUAUUCUCCGUGAACGAGGAAUUCCUAGUAAGUGCAAGUCAUAAGCUUGCGCUGAUUACGUCCCUGCCCUUUGUACACACCGCCCGUCGCUACUACCGAUUGAAUGGUUUAGUAAGGUCCUUGGAUUGGCGCCAUUGUGGUGGUCACCGAAAGGUGCUCAUCCGACAGGUGCUGAGAAGACGACCAAAC
This 275-nucleotide ribosomal RNA is filed under the name Neogryporhynchus cheilancristrotus. RNAcentral's name for it is "partial 18S ribosomal RNA". It matches the Rfam family "Eukaryotic small subunit ribosomal RNA", at positions 1505 to 1764 of the family's 1831-position model. Lineage: Eukaryota; Metazoa; Platyhelminthes; Cestoda; Cyclophyllidea; Dilepididae. The record is from RNAcentral.